Molecule: ribosomal RNA, 582 nt
Filed under: uncultured bacterium
Lineage: Bacteria
Description: partial 16S ribosomal RNA
Rfam family: Bacterial small subunit ribosomal RNA
Source: RNAcentral
UGGGGAAUUUUGGACAAUGGGCGAAAGCCUGAUCCAGCAAUGCCGCGUGUGUGAAGAAGGCCUUCGGGUUGUAAAGCACUUUUGUCCGGAAAGAAAUCCUUGGCUCUAAUACAGUCGGGGGAUGACGGUACCGGAAGAAUAAGCACCGGCUAACUACGUGCCAGCAGCCGCGGUAAUACGUAGGGUGCAAGCGUUAAUCGGAAUUACUGGGCGUAAAGCGUGCGCAGGCGGUUUGCUAAGACCGAUGUGAAAUCCCCGGGCUCAACCUGGGAACUGCAUUGGUGACUGGCAGGCUAGAGUAUGGCAGAGGGGGGUAGAAUUCCACGUNUAGCAGUGAAAUGCGUAGAGAUGUGGAGGAAUACCGAUGGCGAAGGCAGCCCCCUGGGCAAUACUGACGCUCAUGCACGAAAGCGUGGGGAGCAAACAGGAUUAGAUACCCUGGUAGUCCACGCCCUAAACGAUGUCAACUAGUUGUUGGGGAUUCAUUUCCUAGUAACGUAGCUAACGCGUGAAGUUGACCGCCUGGGGAGUACGGUCGCAAGAUUAAAACUCAAAGGAAUUGACGGGGUCAUAGCUGUUUCC